RNAcentral lists this ribosomal RNA (301 nucleotides) under uncultured bacterium. Its description in RNAcentral is "partial 16S ribosomal RNA". It matches the Rfam family "Bacterial small subunit ribosomal RNA", at positions 509 to 807 of the family's 1533-position model. The record is from RNAcentral.
CAGCCGCCGCGGUAAUACGAAGGGGGCUAGCGUUGCUCGGAAUUACUGGGCGUAAAGGGCGCGUAGGCGGAUGUUUAAGUCAGAGGUGAAAGCCCAGGGCUCAACCUUGGAACUGCCUUUGAUACUGGACAUCUUGAGUGUGGGAGAGGUGAGUGGAACUCCGAGUGUAGAGGUGAAAUUCGUAGAUAUUCGGAAGAACACCAGUGGCGAAGGCGACUCACUGGCCCAUUACUGACGCUGAGGCGCGAAAGCGUGGGGAGCAAACAGGAUUAGAUACCCCAGUAGUCCCUGUCUCUUAUAC